Hemiscyllium ocellatum (epaulette shark) is the source of this 629-nucleotide long non-coding RNA. RefSeq lists it as uncharacterized. The record is from RefSeq and is a predicted model, not a curated record. NCBI's taxonomy places the organism in Eukaryota, Metazoa, Chordata, Chondrichthyes, Orectolobiformes, Hemiscylliidae. The transcript is spliced from 3 exons.
AAAGAUUGGAAACAUUUGUUAGGGCAACUCAUUCUUCAUGUCAUCAGCUGCAGUUAUCAGAUAGCAGGGUAAGCUCGCGGGUCCAACUUCCUCUGGCUCUCCCACCAAGCAGCACAGAUACCUCAGGAGACACAUCAGCGGAAUAGUCUGCAAGUUGGGCAAAGUCAACAAUCUGCAGUAAACACGAAGCAACCAAGUUGGGAUCAGGGUAAUGCAUCAUAAUCAGCAGUGUAGAUGCUAAUGACCAUGGGAAGUGUAAUUGCUGAGAUCACAGCUAUUGGCACCAGUGAAGUAACUGAAGACAAGUACAGGAAUACGAACGCAGACUUCCACAUAGAGGAAUCCAAGGAGAGCCUGGGAAUAUUUACUGUGGAGAGAGAACACUCGGGAGAAAUGUAUUCAAGAUCAUUAAGUGGAUGGUUAUACAGGCAUUAGAAAAUCUGCUUCAGGUUUCCACGGAUCCCGGAUAGGAAUCUGGCUCAAGCUUACAUUUAACUACUGCUUGCGAUGUGGAAUGGACCACAAAGGGAAGUAAAUGGCAGAGGCUGAAAAACAAAACUAUAAUAGUGAAUUAGAUGGGCAUCUGUUUAGUUAAGCUUAGUCCGAUAAAGUAGUGCUUUUUUUUCUUA